GCNAGUCGAGCGGUAAGGCCUUUCGGGGUACACGAGCGGCGAACGGGUGAGUAACACGUGGGUGAUCUGCCCUGCACUCUGGGAUAAGCUUGGGAAACUGGGUCUAAUACCGGAUAUGACCGCAUGCCGCAUGGUGUGUGGUGGAAAGAUUUAUCGGUGCAGGAUGGGCCCGCGGCCUAUCAGCUUGUUGGUGGGGUAAUGGCCUACCAAGGCGACGACGGGUAGCCGACCUGAGAGGGUGACCGGCCACACUGGGACUGAGACACGGCCCAGACUCCUACGGGAGGCAGCAGUGGGGAAUAUUGCACAAUGGGCGGAAGCCUGAUGCAGCGACGCCGCGUGAGGGAUGAAGGCCUUCGGGUUGUAAACCUCUUUCAGCAGGGACGAAGCGUGAGUGACGGUACCUGCAGAAGAAGCACCGGCUAACUACGUGCCAGCAGCCGCGGUAAUACGUAGGGUGCGAGCGUUGUCCGGAAUUACUGGGCGUAAAGAGUUCGUAGGCGGUUUGUCGCGUCGUUUGUGAAAACCCGGGGCUCAACUUCGGGCUUGCAGGCGAUACGGGCAGACUUGAGUGUUUCAGGGGAGACUGGAAUUCCUGGUGUAGCGGUGAAAUGCGCANAUAUCAGGAGGAACACCGGUGGCGAAGGCGGGUCUCUGGGAAACAACUGACGCUGANGAACGAAAGCGUGGGUAGCAAACAGGAUUANAUACCCUGGUAGUCCACGCCGUAAACGGUGGGCGC
This 742-nucleotide ribosomal RNA is filed under the name Gram-positive bacterium SY125. RNAcentral's name for it is "bacterial SSU rRNA". It matches the Rfam family "Bacterial small subunit ribosomal RNA", at positions 57 to 816 of the family's 1533-position model. The record is from RNAcentral.